Long non-coding RNA from Centruroides sculpturatus (bark scorpion), 1043 nucleotides. RefSeq lists it as uncharacterized. Lineage: Eukaryota; Metazoa; Arthropoda; Arachnida; Scorpiones; Buthidae. The transcript is spliced from 3 exons. The record is from RefSeq and is a predicted model, not a curated record.
UUAGUAUUGGAUAUUAGUUAGAAUUGGUCCAAUACUAACUAAUAUAAAGCUAUAAAGCGAUCAACUAACAGAGAUCAACUUUUGAACUCGAUGUCUGACUCCGUUUCAUCACUUAACCUACAAGGUGUGAUAAGUCUGUUCAAUCAACCAACUUUGGGCUACAUCAGAAAGCAAGAAGCGAGAAUAUUUACAAAAAACAUUUUAAUUUAAUAAUGGUUGUGUUAUUUACUAAAACACACAAUUAAUUUAAUUACAUUUACAAAAACAAAUAAUAUUAUUAGAAAAUUAAUUUACUUUAUUAACUAUUAGUAGGCCUAUAUUGGUCACGGAAUUCUUAGUGUCAAUUUCUUUUGGUAACUAUCAAGGGCGACAAGAGAGAAGAGAAACUGGAACUGGAGUUCCAGGACCUUGAUCUGUAGAUAGUGAAAGAGAAAGAAGACAAAUUGAAGGCAUCAUGUCAGAAAAGGAGGAAGAGUCCAGGAGACCCUCUCUUCGGAGUCCAUGAUCGCUCUCCGUGGUUCUGGUUAUUAAAUAUUCUGUGGAAAACUUUCUGUUUUAAGCCGAAAAAAAUUAUUUUUAUAAUAUACAGUGGAGCGAAGAUUAUCCGAAAAUCAAUUAUUUGAAAAAUCGACUUCAGAGUACACUGAUUAGACUACAGAAAUUACGAAGUUGACAAUCUAUAGGUUUAAUAUUGAGUUGUCAUCUGUUAUAUGAAAUUGUCCCGCCCAAUUAUUUCGGAUAAUCGACACUCGAUUGCAUUAACUAUUAAAAUUCCGAUAUUUAUUUGAAAAUUGAUUUUCCUUUCACUAAUUUUAUAAAACAUUCGCAAAUCUACAAAUUCUGAAACACCGCAACUCCAAUCAUUUUAAAUUAAUUACUACGUAGAUAUAAUUUUAACAAUAAAAUUUAAUGUUACCUGAAAAAUAUGUAUAGUCCAUAAUGUUAUAGUAACAUACAAUAUAUUUAAAAAAUUACAUUAAUAUUUAUAAUUUUUCAAACAAAUUAAAAAUUAAAAGAAAAUAAUUUUUUCCCUUCCAUUUUUC